Molecule: transfer RNA, 76 nt
Filed under: bacterium
Lineage: Bacteria
Description: tRNA-Ile
Rfam family: tRNA
About the family: Transfer RNA (tRNA) molecules are approximately 80 nucleotides in length. Their secondary structure includes four short double-helical elements and three loops (D, anti-codon, and T loops). Further hydrogen bonds mediate the characteristic L-shaped molecular structure. tRNAs have two regions of fundamental functional importance: the anti-codon, which is responsible for specific mRNA codon recognition, and the 3' end, to which the tRNAs corresponding amino acid is attached (by aminoacyl-tRNA synthetases). tRNAs cope with the degeneracy of the genetic code in two manners: having more than one tRNA (with a specific anti-codon) for a particular amino acid; and 'wobble' base-pairing, i.e. permitting non-standard base-pairing at the 3rd anti-codon position.
Source: RNAcentral
GGACAGUUAGCGCAGCUGGUAGAGCAUUCGGCUCAUAACCGAUCGGUCACAGGUUCGAGUCCUGUACUGUCCACCA